This 76-nucleotide transfer RNA is filed under the name Clostridium thermopalmarium. RNAcentral's name for it is "tRNA-Thr". It matches the Rfam family "tRNA". Rfam says of the family: Transfer RNA (tRNA) molecules are approximately 80 nucleotides in length. Their secondary structure includes four short double-helical elements and three loops (D, anti-codon, and T loops). Further hydrogen bonds mediate the characteristic L-shaped molecular structure. tRNAs have two regions of fundamental functional importance: the anti-codon, which is responsible for specific mRNA codon recognition, and the 3' end, to which the tRNAs corresponding amino acid is attached (by aminoacyl-tRNA synthetases). tRNAs cope with the degeneracy of the genetic code in two manners: having more than one tRNA (with a specific anti-codon) for a particular amino acid; and 'wobble' base-pairing, i.e. permitting non-standard base-pairing at the 3rd anti-codon position. RNAcentral also lists the same sequence under 2 other names. The record is from RNAcentral. Lineage: Bacteria; Bacillati; Bacillota; Clostridia; Eubacteriales; Clostridiaceae.
GCUGGCAUAGCUCAAUUGGUAGAGCAACUGACUUGUAAUCAGUAGGUUUCGGGUUCGAUUCCUGAUGCCAGCACCA